GUGGAGUUUCGACACUGCUUCCCAAAGGCGCAUGCGGACUGGCAGACUUGAAAGAAGACGGAUUGGAAUAGAAAGAGCUGCAGUCUGACUCCUCGAGGUGGACCGCGAGGCAUCAGUGGAAAACAUUUUCAAGAGAGAGUCAGACGUGGCUUGGACCGAGUCCCAGCCCACCUGAGCUGGUAGACAAAAAGUGAUGCCAGGGGGGGAGGAAAGAGUGGAACUUUUUCAUUUACAGAGCUGACAAAGACGGACAUCCCACCGAUGCAUCAGUAGCAAAAGUUGCACUUUAGCCGUCAGAUAUUCCUGGUGCCCAGAGGAUGAAUCCGACUGACUUUUUGUGAUCCCCUGACUCGUCAUCUAGCACCAUCAUCAGGGAGUGGGUCCUCUUCACGGAGUACACCAUGUUGCACCGCCAUGUUUCUACAAUAGCCAAGAAUGGACGAACCAAACACCCUCUCCGACACACUUGGAAAGGGACGGAUAUUCCUGGUGCCCAGAGGAUGAAUCCUACUGACUUUUGGUGAUCCCCUUACCUGUCAUCUCGCACCAUCAUCAGGUGCCUCCACACUGCUCUCAACCUAUGACUGUUAAGUCUCAAAUGGAUGCAUAUUGACCGAAAUACAAGGAAUCAUCAAAUGCACCUCUAUCUUGGCACCAGGUGUGUCUUCUUGCAGACAUCACUGCAAAGCUUCAGUUCUGCUCUGUUCCCAGGUUGGCUCUACUGUUAUAUUCUCCACGGUUUCCUUAUGGUGAAUUCAACUGACUGCAAAGGACACUCAAGGCUGCAGAGAAAGUUACUGGUGCCAUCCAUCCAUCCAUCCAGGAUUUAUACACCUCCAGAGUCAGGAAGCAGCACUGCAGACCCUUCACACCCUGGACACAACCUGUUUCAGCUUCUCUCCUCUGGGAGGCGCUAAAGAGCGCUGUACGCCAAACUACAAAAACCCUCUAACACCAAAAUAUUCUCUGCUGCUGCUAAGGGCUAUAAUUUAAACGUCUUUAAUGCACAAAUAUGUAUCAUUAAAUGCUAUUUCUAUACCUGUGUAAGUACAUUGAGAGAGGGAGAUUUCCCUCUGUGUCAUUAACAUUUCUAUUGGUAAUAAACUGCCUACAAUAAAACAAAUAAAUUAAUAGAUAAAUUACUUGAUAAAUGAAUGGUAAAUGAAAGUAUAUGCCAUUAAUUGACUGACAAAAUGUGACAGAAAAUUGCUAUUUAUGUUUUUAUUUGCUUUAUUUAUUAAUCUUUAUAUUAAUUCCCUUAUUUAUUUACUCUUCUGUUUAAUUUUCCCUUUUAUUUGUAUAUGUAUUAUUUCUAAUUAAUUAUUUUUUUUACAUUUCUUUAUGCAUUUUACUUCACUUAAAGUGUGUCAUCAUUGGGUCAGAGUUCAUAGAUCGACUCCUUGAGGUUUAAAUAAAUAAAUAUAUAAAUAAAUCCAUUCAUUUAAAAAUAAAUAUGAAAUAAAUAAAAAAUAAAUAAAAGAUAAAUACAUUCAAAAAUAAAUAUAUUUAAGAUAUUAUA
Sebastes umbrosus (honeycomb rockfish) is the source of this 1519-nucleotide long non-coding RNA. RefSeq lists it as uncharacterized. The record is from RefSeq and is a predicted model, not a curated record. The transcript has 7 exons. Lineage: Eukaryota; Metazoa; Chordata; Actinopteri; Perciformes; Sebastidae.